Molecule: transfer RNA, 73 nt
Organism: Ovis aries (sheep)
Lineage: Eukaryota; Metazoa; Chordata; Mammalia; Artiodactyla; Bovidae
Rfam family: tRNA
About the family: Transfer RNA (tRNA) molecules are approximately 80 nucleotides in length. Their secondary structure includes four short double-helical elements and three loops (D, anti-codon, and T loops).
Source: Rfam
UCCCUGGUGGUCCAAUGAUUAGGACUCUGUACUUCCACUGCAGAGGGCAUGGGUUCAAUCCCUGGUCAGGUAA